This 433-nucleotide ribosomal RNA is filed under the name uncultured bacterium. RNAcentral's name for it is "partial 16S ribosomal RNA". It matches the Rfam family "Bacterial small subunit ribosomal RNA", at positions 29 to 507 of the family's 1533-position model. The record is from RNAcentral.
AACGAACGCUGGCGGCAUGCCUAACACAUGCAAGUCGAACGAAACCUUCGGGUCUAGUGGCGCACGGGUGCGUAACGCGUGGGAACCUGCCCUUAGGUUCGGAAUAACUCCCCGACAGGGGUGCUAAUACCGGAUAAUGUCUUCGGACCAAAGAUUUAUCGCCCUUGGUUGGGCCCGCGUUGGAUUAGCUAGUUGUUAGGGUAAAAGCCUACCAAGGCGACGAUCCAUAGCUGGUCUGAGAGGAUGAUCAGCCACACUGGGACUGAGACACGGCCCAGACUCCUACGCGAGGCAGCAGUGGGGAAUAUUGGAAAAUGGGCGAAAGCCUGAUCCAGCAAUGCCGCGUGAGUGAUGAAGGCCUUAGGGUUGUAAAGCUCUUUUACCCGGGAUGAUAAUGACAGUACCGGGAGAAUAAGCUCCGGCUAACUCCGUG